Non-coding RNA from Pelobates cultripes (western spadefoot toad), 1591 nucleotides. Lineage: Eukaryota; Metazoa; Chordata; Amphibia; Anura; Pelobatidae. The record is from the annotation of a GenBank genome assembly.
GCAGAGUGUGUGUUUGUAUGAGUGUGUGUGUGUAUAAUGCAGAGUGUGUGUUUGUAUGAGUGUGUGUGCGUAUAUAAUGCAGAGUGUGUGUUUGUAUGAGUGUGUGUGCGUAUAUAAUGCAGAGUGUGUGUUUGUAUGAGUGUGUGUGCGUAUAUAAUGCAGAGUGUGUGUUUGUAUGAGUGUAUGUGCGUAUAUAAUGCAGAGUGUGUGUUUGUAUGAGUGUGUGUGCGUAUAUAAUGCAGAGUGUGAGUGUUUGUAUGAGUGUGUGUGUAGAAUGCAGAUUGUUUGUAUGAGUGUGUGUGUGUAUAAUGCAGUGUGUGUGUUUGUAUGAGUGUGUGUGUGUAUAUAAUUCUAAAAAUCACAGAAUUUCAUAGCUCCAAGUUUUACCCUCGACUUAUCCAUGAGGCAUAGCAUAUUUCACAAUUGUUGGUCACAAAACUGCCCUCGACUUAUACAUGAGAUCGACUUAUACACGAGUAUAUACGGUAGCACAAUAUUCAAGGAACUGCAACAACACUCAGUCUCUUCAGGUAACCUGAUUCUUUACCAGACAAAGGCAGAACUUAAUAAUGGAAUGUUUCUUAAUCAUUUGCUCUCUUAGUAAAACUUCUGCCCAGGGGGUCUCUGGCAAGGAAGAUGGUGACUCAGUUUUUAGUUAGUUUUUGUUUUCGGCCCCAAGCAAGUACAGUCCACACUUCAGUAUCAUUAGAUAUAUAUACUCUGUGGAUUACCAAGCCUCGCCCAGAGACAAUAAGUGACCACCCCCUUGUGUUCCAGACCAACAUCAAUUCAAAUAGAAACAUUAGGUUCCAUCUCCUCUUAUGUACUUGCCACAUAAAUAAUAAUUGUAUCUAUGAAUUUUUGUACCAUUUUUCCAUUCCAUAGAUAUGUCACAUUCCUUACUUGUGACCUAAUAUAGCGGACAUCACAGUCCCGCCCAAAUAGAUUAAGACACGCAAUUCAUGUUUAGGCUUGAUUAGAAGAUUGUGCAUGUCCCAUUCUAAAAAUAAUAAAAAUAAAGCUUAAUUAUUAAUCUGUGGGUAAGUAUUAAUGUAUCCUUUGGAUAGGAUACUGGAACACAAGGGAUUUCUUGAAGGCUAAUGGCCAUUAACAUAUCAAAGAAGUGAACAAUCGAUUAAUAGUUUCAGGACAUAUGGUCGAAGUCAGUUAGUUUACAUUGAAACCAGACAUAUCGGCAGCUCAAGUGUAGAGUUUCACAUGUGCAGAGCCUUUGAUUAAUCAAAGGAUCAAUCCAUGUUGUAAACCAUCUGACCCUUUUCACAUUCCGAUACAAUUUACAUUACCCCUUCUGUCAUCUGACCUCUACCAAGUGGCCAAUUCAUAUAUGCACUAAAGAAAUUACAUUAAAUGGCAAUAUUCUAUAGUGCAACAAUGAAUUAUGCACCCCUGGCGUGACACAUGGUAUUUCAGUCCUUAAUUCUGUAGAACCCAGUGCUUAGUGAAUAACACAGGGAAGGUUGGAAUUCAGGCCCAGUGCAGGCUUGAUUUACAGUGCGUCCUCUGCUGAGUACGAGGCUCAGCGCAGGUUUGGAGACUGCCCAGUUAUAGUGCGCUCUCUAAUAGGGGGAAG